UAGGGAAUAUUGGUCAAUGGACGCAAGUCUGAACCAGCCAUGCCGCGUGCAGGAUGAAGGCCCUAGUGGUUGUAAACUGCUUUUGUACGGGAAAAAACCCCCCGACGUGUCGGGGGUUGAUGGUACUGUAAGAAUAAGGAUCGGCUAACUCCGUGCCAGCAGCCGCGGUAAUACGGAGGAUCCAAGCGUUAUCCGGAUUUAUUGGGUUUAAAGGGUGCGUAGGCGGGUUAGUAAGUCAGUGGUGAAAUCCUACAGCUUAACUGUAGAACUGCCAUAGAUACUGCUAGUCUUGAGUACAGUUGGCGUGGAUGGAACGUGUCAUGUAGCGGUGAAAUGCUUAGAUAUGACACAGAACACCGAUCGCGAAGGCAGUUCACGAAACUGUAACUGACGCUGAGGCACGAAAGCGUGGGGAUCAAACAGG
This 424-nucleotide ribosomal RNA is filed under the name uncultured bacterium. Its description in RNAcentral is "bacterial SSU rRNA". It matches the Rfam family "Bacterial small subunit ribosomal RNA", at positions 355 to 776 of the family's 1533-position model. The record is from RNAcentral.